AGUGGACUUAGUUAAAUUCAUAACACCAGCCCGUCAAGCUGAAAUCAGCCAGCACCAGUUAGUUCACUGCC
Molecule: transfer RNA, 71 nt
Filed under: unidentified
Description: Chlorophila portschinski tRNA-Asp
Source: RNAcentral